Molecule: ribosomal RNA, 499 nt
Filed under: Harrimaniidae sp. n. clade 4 JTC-2014
Lineage: Eukaryota; Metazoa; Hemichordata; Enteropneusta; Harrimaniidae
Description: partial 16S ribosomal RNA
Rfam family: Bacterial large subunit ribosomal RNA
Source: RNAcentral
ACUGCCUGCCCAGUGAAUCUUAAACGGCCGCGGUAUCCUGACCGUGCAAAGGUAGCAUAAUCCCCAGUCCCCUAAAUAGGGACCAGUAUCAAUGGCAAGACGAGGUCCUAACUGUCUCCUUACUUUAAUUUUAAACUUCUUUAGUUGUGCAAAAGCGACUAUUUAAGCGUAAGACGAGAAGACCCUAUCGAGCUUAAGUUUAAAAACACAAAGACUAAAAAGAAAAUUUGCUAUAAAACUUUUAACUUUUUCUUUAUUUGUUUCUACAUUUUAGUUGGGGCAACUGCGGAGAAAAUUUAUCCUCCGUAAUUAAUUAUUAGAUUUCAAAUCUAAAUUUGAAUAGUGUUCUGAUCCUGAAUUUUUGAUUAAUGAAACAAGUUACCGUAGGGAUAACAGCGUAAUACCUUUUAAGAGUUCACAUUGUCAAAGGAGUUUGCGACCUCGAUGUUGGAUCGGGUCAUCCUAAUGGUGCAGCCGCUAUUAAGGGUUGGUCUGUUCG